UACACAUGCAAGUCGAGCGGUAGAGAGAAGCUUGCUUCUCUUGAGAGCGGCGGACGGGUGAGUAAUACCUAGGAAUCUGCCUGAUAGUGGGGGAUAACGUUCGGAAACGGACGCUAAUACCGCAUACGUCCUACGGGAGAAAGCAGGGGACCUUCGGGCCUUGCGCUAUCAGAUGAGCCUAGGUCGGAUUAGCUAGUUGGUGAGGUAAUGGCUCACCAAGGCUACGAUCCGUAACUGGUCUGAGAGGAUGAUCAGUCACACUGGAACUGAGACACGGUCCAGACUCCUACGGGAGGCAGCAGUGGGGAAUAUUGGACAAUGGGCGAAAGCCUGAUCCAGCCAUGCCGCGUGUGUGAAGAAGGUCUUCGGAUUGUAAAGCACUUUAAGUUGGGAGGAAGGGCAUUAACCUAAUACGUUAGUGUUUUGACGUUACCGACAGAAUAAGCACCGGCUAACUCUGUGCCAGCAGCCGCGGUAAUACAGAGGGUGCAAGCGUUAAUCGGAAUUACUGGGCGUAAAGCGCGCGUAGGUGGUUUGUUAAGUUGAAUGUGAAAUCCCCGGGCUCAACCUGGGAACUGCAUCCAAAACUGGCAAGCUAGAGUAUGGUAGAGGGUAGUGGAAUUUCCUGUGUAGCGGUGAAAUGCGUAGAUAUAGGAAGG
This 659-nucleotide ribosomal RNA is filed under the name Pseudomonas sp. 4AAIII. RNAcentral's name for it is "bacterial SSU rRNA". It matches the Rfam family "Bacterial small subunit ribosomal RNA", at positions 50 to 704 of the family's 1533-position model. The record is from RNAcentral. Lineage: Bacteria; Pseudomonadati; Pseudomonadota; Gammaproteobacteria; Pseudomonadales; Pseudomonadaceae.